GGGGACCAAGGAAGGGCCCUCCCCGCCUCCUCCUCAUUCCUCCCCUCCACCCCUCAGAUCUCCAAUCCUCCAAGGAGCUGACAGCUCGAAGAUCCGCGAGCCUGCGUCUCCUCCACCUGCACAACCUCAUUUCCCCAUCAUAACAACAACAACAAAGCAGAAGCCAGAGUGCCAGCAGUACUGACGGCCGAUUUGCGGUGGGUUUGCGGCAGUGUUGAGGCUAAGUGCUGCUGACAAAGAGAGAUGCCUCGAGGACUCUUCAAACGUCCAUCCUCACACGACAUGAAGCGGACAAGACCUGCAGCGUCUCUGAGAUUGGACGCCAGUCUAAGCAUAUGUUACACAGGGACAAAGCAACAGAGAGAAACAAGGGAACAAGACAGAUAGGGAGAAGCAAAGGGGUUAAUGCAAAGCAUGAUAAGAGAGACAAGCAGACAGGCAGGCAGACAGACACACAGACAGACAGACAGAGAAGUGAGUGAGAGAGAAAUAAGAAACAGGGAGGUGGAGGGGGGAGUGGAUGUUGAAAGGGACAUAGAGGCUGUGCAUGAAAGGAAGGAGGGAACAAGGAGGGGUGAGGGGGUGAAGGAAAGGAGGGGUGAAGAGAAGGGAGGAAGUUUGAAGUAAAACUGUUGGGACGUGUGUGACAUUAGGACAUUGGGGCCCUGGCAGGAGUUGUGUCAUUGGUCCAUAUGACUUGUGUGUUGCCUGGGUGAAGUAACGCGUUGCAACAGUGGUGGAAUGGUCACUGUAUGUCACUGCCCUUUCCAUCAGAAGCCCUGUAAUGGCAUGUCAAAACAUUUAGAUGGGCGGCCUCAUAAAAUGUUGCUGAUGACUAAAUGUCCUUUGGCUGACAGAAAUUGCAGUUUUGCUCAAGAAUCAAUAUUUUAAAUAUAAAAUUAAUUCAUCAGGAAAAAGAGUGAAAUUGACGCUCCAGAAGUAUCCCUCUGAAAAAGCUAGAAAUCUUGUCUCUCCAGAGCCUUCAUGAUGGAGGCUCAUGUGUACUUGGUUGCUGUGGGCUGAUGAGACUGAGCAGAGUCCUUCGGCCAUAUAAACAAAACCCCUCGGCAGAGAAAAUGCCAGGGUACCCCAGACCCCCCUACCAAGAAAUCUGACUUGACAAGAAGCAGACACAAGUUCAAGCCUUGGCCUUCAGGCCUCACUGCAUUCUUCACUAUUCCACAGAACAUAAAGUGGUGCAGAAAUGUUGACAUUUUUCCUGUAUUGCACCACAAAUUAGUCACACAAAUAAAAAAAAGGUCAUCUCAAAUUAAAUAUGAAAUUGCAUAAAUGUGUUUAAUUAACUGUAUCUCAGACAAAUUACUUUCAUAUGGAAAUAUUUAACAUUACCAUUUGAGUUUUGUACAUAACAUAUUACCACGCAGGUUAUAUUUACUAACAGAAUUUCAUUAGUUUAUUAUUAUUGCCCGGAAUUGUAAAUGUAUCUGCUAUAAAUGUAAUAUCCAGGAGACUAGACUGGUUAAUUCUAAUACAACAUAACACCACUAUAAACUAGAAAAUCCACCUGACAACACUUCAGUACGUUUAAAGGGGCACUUCACAGAUUCUACACAUGAAGUUCAGUCACUCAUCAUCGGGACAACUACUCUGCCUGUAAAAACAAAGGUUUAAUUUGUGAUGUGGCUCUGGAGAGAGCUCUCUAAAGUCUGAGAAAAUAACCCUGAUGAUGUCAUCACAGUCAUCUCAGGCUGAACUUGGAGACUAAAAAUGUAGAAACAACAGAAAACUAGCGUUAUAAACUAGGGGUACAGAUUUUGAAAUACUUGGGCAUUUACCAUGCAAGUAGGGAAAAUCUAAUAAAAGAUUACUGCUGUAGCCAGUGUUUUUGGAGCUUUGUCAACACUGGGGGCUAAAAGUCACGACAUCUCAGCUUCUUUUUGGAUUCUGACAGUUUUUUAAACCAGCUUUGUACUGUUUGUGUAAAUAAUACUUACUUUUUAAUUGUUUUACCAUAACCACAGUCUCCAACCCUAACCAAGUGAGUUUUUUUUUUUUUUGCCUAACCUUAACAUACCUUAACUUUAGUUGCUACUAGCAGAUAAUAUAGGAAUGUAAAUAGAAUUGUAUGCCUUAUUACCAACCUUAUUCCCUAAAUAGUGAAAAAACAUCUUUUCAUUAGUGUACUGUGGUAGUUUUGCAAGUUAAUUACCAUUCAGGGACAGAUAGAGAUUCUGUUAUUGUUUUACUAAUUGUCUGUGCUUAUGUGCUUUGUAUGUUAUCCUGUAUGUCCUUUAUGUCUCAUAUGGUUAUGACAUAUAGGAGAAAUCAGUAUGGCUAUUGUGUUACAACUAUUUGUGCUUUUAUCUGUGUUUAUGUGAAUUUGUCUAUGUUUAUGUGCUCUUUGCAUUUGUGAGUUUCUGGGUUUAUGUGAUUUUAUCUGUGCUUAUGUGCUUUUCUUUUAAUGUUUCUGACAUGCAAUCAUCCUGCCAGGGACUGCAGAUGAAAAUUAGCCUGUAUGGCUAAAUCUGGCAAUUUUACACAGUGAGUUAAUUAAUUUGCAUUGUCACUUUUUAAAUAAAUAAACUUCAAACUUUA
Dicentrarchus labrax (European seabass) is the source of this 2556-nucleotide long non-coding RNA. RefSeq lists it as uncharacterized. The transcript has 2 exons. NCBI's taxonomy places the organism in Eukaryota, Metazoa, Chordata, Actinopteri, Moronidae. The record is from RefSeq and is a predicted model, not a curated record.